CAGGCUUAACACAUGCAAGUCGAGGGGCAGCAUGGUCUUAGCUUGCUAAGGCCGAUGGCGACCGGCGCACGGGUGAGUAACACGUAUCCAACCUGCCGUCUACUCUUGGACAGCCUUCUGAAAGGAAGAUUAAUACAAGAUGGCAUCAUGAGUCCGCAUGUUCACAUGAUUAAAGGUAUUCCGGUAGACGAUGGGGAUGCGUUCCAUUAGAUAGUAGGCGGGGUAACGGCCCACCUAGUCUUCGAUGGAUAGGGGUUCUGAGAGGAAGGUCCCCCACAUUGGAACUGAGACACGGUCCAAACUCCUACGGGAGGCAGCAGUGAGGAAUAUUGGUCAAUGGGCGCAGGCCUGAACCAGCCAAGUAGCGUGAAGGAUGACUGCCCUAUGGGUUGUAAACUUCUUUUAUAAAGGAAUAAAGUCGGGUAUGGAUACCCGUUUGCAUGUACUUUAUGAAUAAGGAUCGGCUAACUCCGUGCCAGCAGCCGCGGUAAUACGGAGGAUCCGAGCGUUAUCCGGAUUUAUUGGGUUUAAAGGGAGCGUAGAUGGAUGUUUAAGUCAGUUGUGAAAGUUUGCGGCUCAACCGUAAAAUUGCAGUUGAUACUGGAUAUCUUGAGUGCAGUUGAGGCAGGCGGAAUUCGUGGUGUAGCGGUGAAAUGCUUAGAUAUCACGAAGAACUCCGAUUGCGAAGGCAGCCUGCUAAGCUGCAACUGACAUUGAGGCUCGAAAGUGUGGGUAUCAAACAGGAUUAGAUACCCUGGUAGUCCACACGGUAAACGAUGAAUACUCGCUGUUUGCGAUAUACGGCAAGCGGCCAAGCGAAAGCGUUAAGUAUUCCACCUGGGGAGUACGCCGGCAACGGUGAAACUCAAAGGAAUUGACGGGGGCCCGCACAAGCGGAGGAACAUGUGGUUUAAUUCGAUGAUACGCGAGGAACCUUACCCGGGCUUAAAUUGCAGAUGAAUUACGGUGAAAGCCGUAAGCCGCAAGGCAUCUGUGAAGGUGCUGCAUGGUUGUCGUCAGCUCGUGCCGUGAGGUGUCGGCUUAAGUGCCAUAACGAGCGCAACCCUUGUUGUCAGUUACUAACAGGUUCCGCUGAGGACUCUGACAAGACUGCCAUCGUAAGAUGUGAGGAAGGUGGGGAUGACGUCAAAUCAGCACGGCCCUUACGUCCGGGGCUACACACGUGUUACAAUGGGGGGUACAGAGGGCCGCUACCACGCGAGUGGAUGCCAAUCCCAAAAACCUCUCUCAGUUCGGACUGGAGUCUGCAACCCGACUCCACGAAGCUGGAUUCGCUAGUAAUCGCGCAUCAGCCACGGCGCGGUGAAUACGUUCCCGGGCCUUGUACACACCGCCCGUCAAGCCAUGGGAGCCGGGGGUACCUGAAGUGCGUAACCGCGAGGAGCGCCCUAGGGUAAAACUGGUGACUGGGGCUAAGU
RNAcentral lists this ribosomal RNA (1439 nucleotides) under uncultured organism. Its description in RNAcentral is "16S ribosomal RNA". It matches the Rfam family "Bacterial small subunit ribosomal RNA". The record is from RNAcentral.